AUAAAUAUUGCAAUUAACUAAAUGCUAUUGUCUAAUUAUAUGUAGCAAAUUAAAUAUGCUAUGUAUAACAGUUAUUUAUAUCAGAAACAAAUCGUUAUUAAAUAAUUAAAGAUUGCAGCAGAAAAAGCGCUGUAAUAAAGGAAAUAAUGAUAGCAGAACAAAAAAGCGCUACAAUAUGUCUCCGACCUAUUAUGACGGACGAUGAUAGAGCGCUUCUAAUAACGCUAUGAUAUAAUAACAUAGCGUUUUUCGGGCGCUACAAAUGCUCCAUAUUCCUGUAGUGGGGUCAACGAAGACGGCAAUAACAUGGGCAUCGAUGUCAGAGUCAAGCAAUACCAACUUCCAAACCCUAACAACAACGACAACAACAACGACGACAACGACGACGACAGCAACGACGACAACAACGACGACAACAACGAUGACAACAACGACGACAACAACGACGACAACUAAACAAUCGUUUGUUUAUCUCUCUAAUUUAUCUCUAUGGUUUAGUAGUCCUAUUUAUUUAUGUUGUAAUGGUCCCUAAUUUGCUUUAGACGCUUUUUUUUUUUUUUUUUUUAUCUCUGUUUGAUCUCUAGUCUUAUGGAUUGAUGUUGCAAUGGUUCUUAGUUAUCUUAUGUU
This 627-nucleotide small RNA is filed under the name Arabidopsis thaliana (thale cress). Its description in RNAcentral is "ATSL022070". The record is from RNAcentral. Lineage: Eukaryota; Viridiplantae; Streptophyta; Magnoliopsida; Brassicales; Brassicaceae.